RNAcentral lists this ribosomal RNA (574 nucleotides) under uncultured Bradyrhizobium sp. Its description in RNAcentral is "bacterial SSU rRNA". It matches the Rfam family "Bacterial small subunit ribosomal RNA", at positions 48 to 667 of the family's 1533-position model. The record is from RNAcentral. Lineage: Bacteria; Pseudomonadati; Pseudomonadota; Alphaproteobacteria; Hyphomicrobiales; Nitrobacteraceae.
CUUACACAUGCAAGUCGAGCGGGCGUAGCAAUACGUCAGCGGCAGACGGGUGAGUAACGCGUGGGAACGUACCUUUUGGUUCGGAACAACCCAGGGAAACUUGGGCUAAUACCGGAUAAGCCCUUACGGGGAAAGAUUUAUCGGCGAAAGAUCGGCCCGCGUCUGAUUAGCUAGUUGGUGAGGUAAUGGCUCACCAAGGCGACGAUCAGUAGCUGGUCUGAGAGGAUGAUCAGCCACAUUGGGACUGAGACACGGCCCAAACUCCUACGGGAGGCAGCAGUGGGGAAUAUUGGACAAUGGGCGCAAGCCUGAUCCAGCCAUGCCGCGUGAGUGAUGAAGGCCCUAGGGUUGUAAAGCUCUUUUGUGCGGGAAGAUAAUGACGGUACCGCAAGAAUAAGCCCCGGCUAACUUCGUGCCAGCAGCCGCGGUAAUACGAAGGGGGCUAGCGUUGCUCGGAUCACUGGGCGUAAAGGGUGCGUAGGCGGGUUUUUAAGUCAGGGGUGAAAUCCUGGAGCUCAACUCCAGAACUGACUUUGAUACUGAAGAUCUUGAGUCCGGGAGAGGUGAGUGGAAC